AACGAACGCUGGCGGCGCGCCUAACACAUGCAAGUCGAACGAGAAGGCGUAGCAAUACGCUUGUAGAGUGGCGAACGGGUGAGUAAUACGUGGGUGACCUACCCUCGAGUGGGGAAGUAACCCGCCGAAGGACGGGCGUAAUGCCGCGUACGCUUCCGUCCUCACGGGGACGGAAGGAAAGCUGUACCGUGGGUACGGCGCUCAAGGAUGGGCUCACGUCCUAUCAGCUUGUUGGUAGGGUAACGGCCACCAGCUCGACGGUAGCUGGUCUGAGAGGACGAUCAGCCACACUGGCACUGCGACGACGGGCC
RNAcentral lists this ribosomal RNA (311 nucleotides) under uncultured bacterium. Its description in RNAcentral is "bacterial SSU rRNA". It matches the Rfam family "Bacterial small subunit ribosomal RNA", at positions 29 to 332 of the family's 1533-position model. The record is from RNAcentral.